RNAcentral lists this ribosomal RNA (253 nucleotides) under uncultured bacterium. RNAcentral describes it as "partial 16S ribosomal RNA". It matches the Rfam family "Bacterial small subunit ribosomal RNA", at positions 524 to 776 of the family's 1533-position model. The record is from RNAcentral.
UACGUAGGUGGCAAGCGUUGUCCGGAUUUACUGGGCGUAAAGGGCGUGCAGGCGGUCUGUUAAGUCUAGGGUGAAAGCUCCCGGCUCAACUGGGAGAGGUCCUUGGAUACUGGCGGACUUGAGGGAGGCAGAGGAAAGUGGAAUUCCCGGUGUAGUGGUGAUAUGCGUAGAUAUCGUAAGGAAGACCAGUGGCGAAGGCGGGUCUCUGGACAGUUCCUGACGCUGAGGCACGAAGGUCAGGGGAGCAAACGGG